AGAGAGAGAGAGAAAGCAAGCAAGAGCACGAGAUGUCAUUCCGGACUCCUGAUGCCGCCAGUCCCGCGGUGAGACGUGAGCGCCAUUGGCGUCCGUGGCCUCUGUUUCCGUGGCAACCCAGUAACCAUUAAUUUUCAAUUAAAGGAGACAAAAAGCUCUAUGACAGCUCCAGGUCUGCUGAAGAUGUCAAGAAUCUGUAUUAAUAUACAGCAAGAGAGCAUAAUUGUGUGUCCAUCUUCCAGAGCAGCGAAAAAUGGAGGGAUAAUUACCAGCUCGAAAGCCACUCUGUAAUUUAGUUCUUACUGUCACCACAGCCCUACACAUUAGCAUAAAUUAAAAGCAGAGUUUAUUGUUAUCAAAGUGCA
Molecule: long non-coding RNA, 365 nt
Organism: Cebus imitator (Panamanian white-faced capuchin)
Lineage: Eukaryota; Metazoa; Chordata; Mammalia; Primates; Cebidae
Exons: 2
Source: RefSeq, a predicted model, not a curated record